GCCAACUGCAGCAGCAGCGGGCCCAGCCUGCCCCGCAACAGCCAGCGCGGCUCCUGGAGGGAAACGAGCAAGGCGGCCCCGCAGGUGUGGCGCGGCCCUGGGAGGGCGCGUGCGAGCGCUGCUUUGUUUGGUGCCCGCACAGCCCCGGGCUCCAGGCCUGAGCGCCAACCUUCCCGAGCUGAGUCACGGCUGCAGAGCCCGAGGGCGGCCAUACGGCCCCGCCCGGAAGGAUGAGGCCCCUUCCUGAAGCUGGCGAGUCCGAUGCGGUGGCAGGGACAAAAGCCAGGGGAAGGUGGCUUCUAUUCUACAAAGCCCUUUAGGGAAGGGGGGAGUCAGGCCGCCCUCACCCAGUGCAGGUCCGUCACGAUGGUCACCCAGAGCACUCACGCAGAAAGCCAGCUUGCAGCCGCCAGCCCUGAGGAUGCCGCCCCCAAAGGGCUCAUUGCUCUAAUCACCCGUCCAGGGGCUUGAGGCAAAGCUCCAAGACAGACCUGUAGCAGCAUGGCCCAAAAAGUUCCUCUGCUGCCCCAGUCCCAUACCUGCCUGAGGUACGGGGGUUCAGGCUGAGUCGGCUGACCUGGAGUCAUCUGGAAGCCUUGUCAGAAAUGCAGAUUCUGCAGUGCUGUUCCCAGAGGAUGAGAUUCAGCAGAACUGGGUGUUGGAUAUUAUAUGAAGAGAUUUGCAAGUGUUAUUUUACGUAAUUCGCACUUUACAAAGGAGGAAACUGCAGCGCAGGUACCAAGGUUGCCCCAUCUCGGUCCAGGCCUGCUCCCGGCGAGCCACUCGCCCUUGACCACGCCUCCUCUCUCCUGAUUGGCUGUCAGGCAUGAGUCAUUAAGCUCACUAAGACAAUAAUCAAAGACCUAUAAAACCGUGAACUUCUUGAGACAAUGAGGAUGCCUCUAACAGACUUGGGAAGAAAUCCUGCACAAAGAGCUGGGGAAAAAAGGGAAGAAAAGCACAUAGAAUACUCCUUCAAGGCAGGCAUUGGCAGACCUUCCACCGUGCACCAGGCUCUGUGCUAAGAUUCACCCUGGAGUAACCCUGCCUCUGGGGGUGAAGUUGCUAUAUCUGGCUGCGUUUUGGCCAGCCGACCCUCUAGGCAGCCCUUAAUUCUUGCUUCUCAAACUUACUUCCAAGGACAGAGAAAGAUGACCACUGCCCUCACCCCACUAAAGAAGCCCCAGCACUUAGCAAGCACUUAUGGCCCAGAGCAGACUGUCUCUACUUCAUUUCACUCUCCACACCCAGACUUGGACCACACUUGGAAAAGAACCAGCCAGUCCUGGAGGCUGCAUAUUGUGGAUAGCAGGACUCCACUCACAUCUCAAAGCUCCUCCCUGCCCAUUCCCAUGGUCCCUCCAGCCCUUGGGCAAUACUACCAAUAAGAAGGAGAAAUGAGCUGGAUUUCACUUCCUUUGGAGCAGGUGUGAAUAAACAGAAUUGUCCCAAACUUGGGCAGCAGAAGUGGGGAAAGAAGAAAGGCAACCGGCCAGGCGCGGUGGCUCACGCCUGUAAUCCCAGCAUUUGGGGAGGC
RNAcentral lists this long non-coding RNA (1537 nucleotides) under Homo sapiens (human). Its description in RNAcentral is "HSALNT0348749". The record is from RNAcentral. Lineage: Eukaryota; Metazoa; Chordata; Mammalia; Primates; Hominidae.